GACGAACGCUGGCGGCGUGCCUAACACAUGCAAGUCGAGCGAACAGACGAUGAGCUUGUUCUCCGGACGUUAGCGGCGGACGGGUGAGUAACACGUGGAUCACCUACCUAUAAUACUGGGAAAACUUCGGGAAUCCGGCGCUAAUACCGGAGAAUCUACUGAACCGCAUGGUUCAAUAGUUAAAGACGGUUUUGCUGGCACGCAUAGAGGGAUCCGCGCCGCAUUAGAUAGUUGGUCGGGUAACGGCUUACCAAGGCAACCAGGCGUAGCCGACGUGAGAGGGUGGUCGGCGACACUGGAACGGGGACGCGGACCAGGCUCCUACGGGAGGCAGCAGAAGGGAAUGGUACGCAAUAGGGGGGAGCAUGACGGAGCGGGGGCAAGUGAGUGAUGAAGGUCUUCGGGUCGUGAAGAUGUGUUUUUGGGGGAGAACCAAUGUGUAAGGAGAUGUGGCGGUAUUGACGGUACCUGAUAAAGAAGCAACGGCUAACUACGUG
This 497-nucleotide ribosomal RNA is filed under the name uncultured bacterium. RNAcentral's name for it is "partial 16S ribosomal RNA". It matches the Rfam family "Bacterial small subunit ribosomal RNA", at positions 28 to 507 of the family's 1533-position model. The record is from RNAcentral.